UAGAUGCAUCUGUGAAGACAUGACAAUUGUGUAUGGUAAGCCCUUAACCUGAAUUUAUUCCAAUAACACCUCUCUGUGUUUACAAUUACUGUCUUCAUUUUGAGUCGCGAAGCGUAAGAACUACUGCUAAUAACAUUCUGGCAUUACAAAUGAAAUUCUCUUACCUAACAACUUAGCCGGUCCAUUUUUAGGACAGCUGUUAAUGUUUUCUGCAGGAAACCAAUCAGACCUACAGAGGAAAUAUGUCAUUGUACUCGUUCCUCUCCCCUCUGACCCCCACAAUCAUCAGCGCCCCCUCCAGUCCGGAGAUGUUAGAGGUGAGUCCCGUGCUGCCUUUAGCCCCUCCUGCCACGUCCUGGUACAGCACGGCAUCAUGGGAAGACACAAUAAUCCUGCUCCCUGCUGAUGGGGACAUCUCCUCCCCCCUCCUCUGUUGCUCCGGCGUCGGAGCGGGCGCUCUGAUCCCGCUGCUCCCCGCACCUGUGCUCCCUCCCCCGCCCCCACCUCGCUUUUUAGGCAGCGGCCCCCACAGGAAUGCGUGGGCGGGCCGAUAGUGCUUGCGCGCAUAGCGCAGCAGGCGCCUGCGGGUGGCCGGCAGACGGAUGGUGUAGACGAAGUACUCCAGGACGCUGUGUUGCAUGUUGGGAAGAGUGGUGUGGCUCAGCGACUCCUCCAGGAACAGGUGGACUAGGGGGGCCUUUAACGCUUCGUAGCCCAGCUCGCCCAGCGACUUCAGGAUGCGAGUGAUCCGAAGGUAGUUGUGCUGGGACCUGAAAAACAAAGCAGGAGGAGGUGCUGGAAGCGCUCCUGCCAGUUGGAAGCCCGAGCAACAUUCCCACUCUUAUCCAGCAGUUUGAUGCCGUAGAAGUCUAGCAUGAGGGAAUAUGCUGCCAAGAACCUCCGCUUGGCUUCCCGAGUGCUUUGGAACUCCUGUCAGGAUUAAACACAGCGGAUCAGAGACUAGCACACAGGCACUAGAGGGAUCUUGUUCAAGUAGAAGCGCAGGUUACGGUACUCAUUGGGUUGCCGUGGCUUUCGGUAGUUCUGCAAACGCACACAGAACAAAGCCAGGUGUAACCAAUAAAAAUCCCGGGAACAGCAGCAUCAGGACCAGAGCUGCGUCACGUGACACCAGGACAGGAGGAGGUUACGCUACACACCCCCAUAACAUUAAUAACGUCCCUUCAGGAAAAAAAAGAAAUGCUGUGAAGGUUGUUCUUAAGGACAAUACAGGCUUUGUUUUUAUUUUACAGUUUUGUUGUUUAAACUAAACAAAAUACACAUUUGAACAUUUCGCUUGUGUCUCAAUUCACUUAUAAAAUACAUUAUAAAUUGAGGAAAUGUGUAAAGAUACUACUAUGAUCACAUUGGCAUAGGUUCUUUUAAUGAAAUAGUUCUUAUUGAGAGAUAGAUCAAAGAUAAAUACAUUAACAUUACAUAGUAGUUACUAGUUAUUUUCAGGUCAAGGUGUAACAUUAUAAUCAUGUGAUCCAUGUAUAAGAUUGGGUACACCACAUUAUUGAGGGUUAAACCAGUAUUUCCUUUUUAGAGACGAAUUUCAAAUGUCUAAUGCUUUUUAGCAGUUUCAUCAAAAAGUGAUUUUUCCCUCUUAGCGUCUCAUAUCGUUUUGUUUGAAAGUGUCAGAACAGGUACAAAUUAAUCAAUAUUUCCAAAAAAAGAAGAACAAUUAGAAGGAAAAUAUAUUGUGUUUCAGGGGUUUGUUUUUAAUCAUAUUAUAUAUUAUUUUGUUUUAUAUACUGCAUGUAAUAGUGUAUCCCCCAAAAUAUUAUUUUAGCCUAAUACUUUAAAUCUUAAAGGUUAUCAGGUCUCAUGGGAGUCUGAGAUCCAAGAAUGUAUUUGAGAAAUUACUAUUUCCCAUAUGCAAUAACAAUAAA
Molecule: long non-coding RNA, 1895 nt
Organism: Eleginops maclovinus (Patagonian blennie)
Lineage: Eukaryota; Metazoa; Chordata; Actinopteri; Perciformes; Eleginopidae
Exons: 4
Source: RefSeq, a predicted model, not a curated record